RNAcentral lists this ribosomal RNA (433 nucleotides) under uncultured bacterium. Its description in RNAcentral is "partial 16S ribosomal RNA". It matches the Rfam family "Bacterial small subunit ribosomal RNA", at positions 29 to 507 of the family's 1533-position model. The record is from RNAcentral.
AACGAGCGCUGGCGGCAUGCCUAACACAUGCAAGUCGAACGAGACCUUCGGGUCUAGUGGCGCACGGGUGCGUAACGCGUGGGAACCUGCCCUUAGGUUCGGAAUAACUCCCCGAAAGGGGUGCUAAUACCGGAUAAUGUCUUCGGACCAAAGAUUUAUCGCCUUUGGAUGGGCCCGCGUUGGAUUAGCUAGUUGGUAGGGUAAAAGCCUACCAAGGCGACGAUCCAUAGCUGGUCUGAGAGGAUGAUCAGCCACACUGGGACUGAGACACGGCCCAGACUCCUACGGGAGGCAACAGUGGGGAAUAUUGGACAAUGGGCGAAAGCCUGAUCCAGCAAUGCCGCGUGAGUGAUGAAGGCCUUAGGGUUGUAAAGCUCUUUUACCCGGGAUGAUAAUGACAGUACCGGGAGAAUAAGCUCCGGCUAACUCCGUG